GCUCUCUGACGGUAAAAUAAAAAAGCUAAACAGCGUUCCAGCUACAAGUCGACAUUGUGUAACACUGUGUCACACAGUGACAACACAAUGUUUCAUAGCUGGAAAGCAGCCUAAGUGUAGUAAGCCUUAAGAAUCUGACCAAUUAUAAUUGAAUAUCCGGCCUUAAAAUGGAAUUCAUCGUGAUGCCGGAAGGAGACGAGGGAUGAAAUUCAUAGACUGAUAUCUUAUUCAAGAUCCAUCUUUUUCGUCCAUAUAGUUUGGAAACAACUUUUGGGUAAUUAGCAGUCUCGUAUUUAAAAUCUACCAAUUUCAAAUACUAGACUGCUAAUUUUUAUUACAUGUAAAUGCGAGCAACGAAAGUUAAAACUUGGCUAUAACAUUUCGAGCGACAUCGCAUCGAGGACCGGUUCCAAGUUACAACUUCUUGGUAAACUUACCUACCAGGUGAAUUUACCAAGAAGUUGGAACAAUCGAUCCCGAGUCUCGCGAUGAAUGCAGAUGAAUGUGGGGUGCGGUCUGGCCCUAUUCUUGAAAUAGUUGCGCAUACGUAAAUAGCAAGUUGCGAAUGAUCGCAAUAGAAAAUCCCUAGAACGGUAUUCUUGACUGUCGCAAGCAGUAACGUAUACGCAAUUUUUCGUGUACGAUGCAACGAAUGGUUCAGACCAUUCGUUUCAUGAGAAACGUAUACGUUUCGAUGGUGAAAAGCAAUAGUAAAAGCCUCCACGUAUUAUUAGUGAAUCCUAUCAAUUGAAUAUUAAUAAAAAUAUUCAUAUUGGUGUUAGUCAGCCAACAGUCUCUCGCUGCAUCCACAAAAUUAUUGAUGUUAUAACAAGAGAAGAAAUAAUGAAACAGGAUUAAGUUUCCCAGUACGUUAGCAGAAUUGAACACGUUAUCCUGGAAGCACUCGCAAUACAUUUAUAUGGAAUAACUCAUAUGCAAAAAACGUGCUAUGGUUUAUCUCUACAGGCGCUAUCCACACAAAAAUUUCCAUUUAGUAGGUGAUUCAAGGUAUUCUCUCAGACCUUGGAUGAUGACUCCUAUAAUAGAUGCUAUUAAAGGUAGUCCAGAAGCUGAAUAUAAUACCAAACAAAUGAGAUGUCGUGCAUUAAUAGAAUAAUGCAAUGGAGUUCUGAAAAUGCGGUUUAGAUGUCUAUUGAAGUAUAGAGUACUCCAUUACUCUCCACCAAUAGCAUCUAAAAUUAUAUAUACAUGUGCUGUUUUACAUAAUAUGUACAUUGCCCAAAAUGUGUCACUGAAUCUAAAUGACGAUAAUAAAGAUGUAGAUUUGGGAUGUAUAAUAACAAAAAUCGUAUUGAAAAUGAAAGAAACGUCCGUAGAAUUGAUCCAAAUAUGGCAGCUGGUAGAAAUAAACAGCAAUUAAUGAUUGCAAAUUACUUCUCGUAAAUUAUAAGUAUCGUUUAUCAUUUAGUAUAAUUUUUAUCAAUAGUGGAUUUAUAUUAAUUA
Monomorium pharaonis (pharaoh ant) is the source of this 1464-nucleotide long non-coding RNA. RefSeq lists it as uncharacterized. NCBI's taxonomy places the organism in Eukaryota, Metazoa, Arthropoda, Insecta, Hymenoptera, Formicidae. The transcript is spliced from 5 exons. The record is from RefSeq and is a predicted model, not a curated record.